AGUCCCAUCUUCAUACCCA
RNAcentral lists this small nuclear RNA (19 nucleotides) under Arabidopsis thaliana (thale cress). Its description in RNAcentral is "snRNA_05414". Lineage: Eukaryota; Viridiplantae; Streptophyta; Magnoliopsida; Brassicales; Brassicaceae. The record is from RNAcentral.